RNAcentral lists this ribosomal RNA (586 nucleotides) under Candida tropicalis. RNAcentral describes it as "partial large subunit ribosomal RNA". It matches the Rfam family "Eukaryotic large subunit ribosomal RNA", at positions 81 to 664 of the family's 3401-position model. Lineage: Eukaryota; Fungi; Ascomycota; Pichiomycetes; Serinales; Debaryomycetaceae. The record is from RNAcentral.
UAGUAGCGGCGAGUGAGCGGCAAAAGCUCAAAUUUGAAAUCUGGCUCUUUCAGAGUCCGAGUUGUAAUUUGAAGAAGGUAUCUUUGGGUCUGGCUCUUGUCUAUGUUUCUUGGAACAGAACGUCACAGAGGGUGAGAAUCCCGUGCGAUGAGAUGAUCCAGGCCUAUGUAAAGUUCCUUCGAAGAGUCGAGUUGUUUGGGAAUGCAGCUCUAAGUGGGUGGUAAAUUCCAUCUAAAGCUAAAUAUUGGCGAGAGACCGAUAGCGAACAAGUACAGUGAUGGAAAGAUGAAAAGAACUUUGAAAAGAGAGUGAAAAAGUACGUGAAAUUGUUGAAAGGGAAGGGCUUGAGAUCAGACUUGGUAUUUUGUAUGUUACUUCUUCGGGGGUGGCCUCUACAGUUUAUCGGGCCAGCAUCAGUUUGGGCGGUAGGAGAAUUGCGUUGGAAUGUGGCACGGCCUCGGUUGUGUGUUAUAGCCUUCGUCGAUACUGCCAGCCUAGACUGAGGACUGCGGUUUAUACCUAGGAUGUUGGCAUAAUGAUCUUAAGUCGCCCGUCUUGAAGAUGCUUAGUAGCGGCGAGUGAGCGG